CAUAACUUGCAAACUUGUGUUAGACCAGAAAAAGUAAGUUAAAAUUAGAAUUAUUAUAUCUAAUUACAAUCAUAUAAAGAAUUUGACAUGUGAAGAGGAGAAAUCAGGCUCAACACAUUUAGAAAAAAUAAACUCUUAAAAAUUAAGGUUUAAAUUUUUUGGUCCUAUAAUUUCAUAACGUGCAAUUUUGGUUUCUUUAAAAAAAAUAUUACACAUUUGAUUUUUCAAAAUUUAUUAAUUUUGGUUCACCCUUGGUAUGUCGCCAAUCUUUGAAGUUUUAACAGAAAUUACUGAGCAUGAGACGGGUUGAAGACAAGUUAUCUCUAUUGUUACUCACCAAAAUAUUCAUUAGGGUCAUUUUCUUUCAAGAAACGGU
This 376-nucleotide unclassified non-coding RNA is filed under the name uncultured fungus. RNAcentral describes it as "sequence contains ITS1". The record is from RNAcentral. Lineage: Eukaryota; Fungi.